Molecule: non-coding RNA, 47 nt
Filed under: Methyloversatilis universalis
Lineage: Bacteria; Pseudomonadati; Pseudomonadota; Betaproteobacteria; Nitrosomonadales; Sterolibacteriaceae
Also listed under: 1 other name
Description: Guanidine-II sequence
Rfam family: Guanidine-II riboswitch aptamer (mini-ykkC)
About the family: Simpler in structure and has fewer highly conserved nucleotide positions than the ykkC-yxkD leader. Despite this each of its two stem-loop structures directly bind free guanidine.
Source: RNAcentral
CCAGCGGGACGACCCGCAGGGCGUUUCUCGCGACGGGGACGGCCCCG